UGUGUUUUUCUCCUGGGGAAAAAAGAGUGUCAUCUACAAAGAAAUAUUUACAUAUCUGCAUCACUGGGAUAUCAUAGUUGAAGAAAAUUGCUAUUUUGUUGUUAUAUUCUGCUGUUUUCUUGACCAUGUCCAGAUAUUGAUGGAGCCUACUUUGGGACAACAUUUCCUCACCUGUUUCUGAUGACGUACGAUCACCUCAAGCCCCAGAAGCCCUCGCAGCGCUAUGUUCCUCGCGUAUUUGGCUUCAAGCUCCACAACCACAAGCCAUGAUGCGGAGGUGAAGGAAAAGAUAAGAGGCCCCGGAAGACUACUGUAAGAGUGCAAUCGCCAGAUCAUGCUGCCCACCCAUAUUGUGUGCCCUGUCUGGUCUAUUUAACAUUGAAAUAUUGGUAUAAAAGAAGACAUGAGACGAUGUUGUAACCUAAUUCCAGCUCUACUGGCUAGUAAAUCUGGACCUCUGUUUCCAAAACCAGCAGCUAUCGAGAAAUCAAAGUUAUGGUCGACAAUAUCAUGCCAGUUAUCGUUUAGAUAUUUCUUCCGCAAAUCUGAUUGCCAUGUUACGCCAACUUGGAAGAAAUGGAUUAUAGAAAAUUAAAUCAGCUAGGCAACUCUUUGUUUAUUUAAUUAAAA
This 630-nucleotide long non-coding RNA is filed under the name Triticum aestivum (bread wheat). RNAcentral describes it as "long non-coding RNA (TAES_LNC020686)". Lineage: Eukaryota; Viridiplantae; Streptophyta; Magnoliopsida; Poales; Poaceae. The record is from RNAcentral.